AUUCAAUUUACAAGAGGCGUUCUAACGCUGCAAAAUUAGUCGUUAGAGAUUUUGUUGCCGACAACACACAAAAGUUCCUCCAAAUUGAUAUUACCAAAGAAUAAAUAGUAUAAAAAGUGGAUGUGAAUAAGAAAUAUAAAGUCACAACAAAAAAAAAAAACAACUUGACGAAAUGAUCCAGAUCUUGCAAAUGAAUCCAAGUUUGCAAUGGCUUAAAAAAAAUAACAUCAAGGAAUAAUGGAGCAAAAUUGGUGCAAAACACAAUAUCCUAGGGCCGCCGGGCUCGAACAGGCGAGGCCUGGAUGAAAGGGGAAAUGAGAUCUAAUUUGGACACAGCUUAUUAUGCAAUACUUCUAUGCACUCGCGGAACACAUUGCUGACAGACGACUGUGAUAAACUGACAUGGUAAUCGUUGCCAGCGCUCUUUUGAUAACUUCCUUCAGCCAGUAUUCGAAUUGUUACUGGUUUUAGUAUGUUUGGGACACUUGUAGAUUUUACACGCCGACGGAGGUCUGGGGUGAUUUGAGCCAAAACAUAUUUGAACACAUCCUUACUAAGCCUGAACUUCUACUUACUUGGAAUCAGUCAUAUUCAUCCUCAGAUAAAAAAAAAAAAAUGCCAACACUUAACAUAAUUCAAUAUUUAAUUUAACAAAUAUAAAUAUAUAUAUAAAAUAAAUAAAAAACAAAUACCAG
Long non-coding RNA from Musca domestica (house fly), 695 nucleotides. RefSeq lists it as uncharacterized. The record is from RefSeq and is a predicted model, not a curated record. Lineage: Eukaryota; Metazoa; Arthropoda; Insecta; Diptera; Muscidae. The transcript has 4 exons.